CUGGCUCAGGAUGAACGCUAGCUACAGGCUUAACACAUGCAAGUCGAGGGCAGCAUGUGUGCUGCAACCGAUGAUGGCGACCGGCGCACGGGUGAGUAACGCGUAUCCAACCUUCCCUAUAGUAGAGGAUAGCCCGGCGAAAGUCGGAUUAAUACUCUAUGUUGUUCAAUGCAGACAUCUAAGUUGAAUCAAAGGUUCACCGCUAUAGGAUGGGGAUGCGUCUGGAUUAGGUAGUCGGCGGGGUAACGGCCCACCGAGCCAUCGAUCAGUAGGGGUUCUGAGAGGAAGGUCCCCCACAUUGGAACUGAGACACGGUCCAAACUCCUACGGGAGGCAGCAGUGAGGAAUAUUGGUCAAUGGGCGAGAGCCUGAACCAGCCAAGUAAGCGUGCAGGAUGACGGCCCUAUGGGUUGUAAACUGCUUUUAUACAGGGAUAAAGUCGGGGACGUGUCCCCGUUUGUAGGUACUGUAUGAAUAAGGACCGGCUAAUUCCGUGCCAGCCGCAGC
RNAcentral lists this ribosomal RNA (507 nucleotides) under uncultured bacterium. RNAcentral's name for it is "bacterial SSU rRNA". It matches the Rfam family "Bacterial small subunit ribosomal RNA", at positions 19 to 518 of the family's 1533-position model. The record is from RNAcentral.